Oncorhynchus keta (chum salmon) is the source of this 541-nucleotide long non-coding RNA. RefSeq lists it as uncharacterized. NCBI's taxonomy places the organism in Eukaryota, Metazoa, Chordata, Actinopteri, Salmoniformes, Salmonidae. The transcript is spliced from 6 exons. The record is from RefSeq and is a predicted model, not a curated record.
ACAGGUAGACAGGCUCAGAGACCAGCACCUCCAUCUUACUGACAGAACAGGUAGACAGGCUCAGAGACCAGCACCUCCAUCUUACUGACAGAACAGGUAGACAGGCUCAGAGACCAGCACCUCCAUCUUACUGACAGAACAGGUAGACAGGCUCAGAGACCAGCACCUCCAUCUUACUGACAGAACAGGUAGACAGGCUCAGAGACCAGCACCUCCAUCUUACUGACAGAACAGGUAGACAGGCUCAGAGACCAGCAACACCUCCAUCUUACUGACAGAACAGGUAGACAGGCUCAGAGACCAGCACCUCCAUCUUACUGACAGAACAGGUAGACAGGCUCAGAGACCAGCAACACCUCCAUCUUACUGACAGAACAGGUAGACAGGCUCAGAGACCAGCACCUCCAUCUUACUGACAGAACAGGUAGACAGGCUCAGAGACCAACACCUCCAUCUUACUGACAGAACAGGUAGACAGGCUCAGAGACCAGCAACACCUCCAUCUUACUGACAGAACAGGUAGACAGGCUCAGAGACCAAC